AUUGAACGCUGGCGGCAGGCCUAACACAUGCAAGUCGAACGGUAGCACAGAGAGCUUGCUCUCGGGUGACGAGUGGCGGACGGGUGAGUAACGUCUGGGAAACUGCCCGAUGGAGGGGGAUAACUACUGGAAACGGUAGCUAAUACCGCAUAACGUCGCAAGACCAAAGUGGGGGACCUUCGGGCCUCACACCAUCGGAUGUGCCCAGAUGGGAUUAGCUAGUAGGUGGGGUAAUGGCUCACCUAGGCGACGAUCCCUAGCUGGUCUGAGAGGGGGACCGGCCACACUGGAACUGAGACACGGUCCGGACGCGGGCGGGAGGCAGCAGUGGGGAAGAUUGCCCAAUGGGCGCAAGGCGGAUGCAGCCAUGCCGCGUGUAUGAGGAAGGCCUUCGGGUUGUAAAGUACUUUCGGCGGGGAGGAAGGCGGUGAAGUUAAUAGCUUCACCGAUUGACGUUACCCGCAGAAGAAGCACCGGCUAACUCCGUGCCAGCCGCCGCCGUAA
RNAcentral lists this ribosomal RNA (504 nucleotides) under uncultured bacterium. RNAcentral's name for it is "partial 16S ribosomal RNA". It matches the Rfam family "Bacterial small subunit ribosomal RNA", at positions 29 to 523 of the family's 1533-position model. The record is from RNAcentral.